AGAGUGAACGCUGGCGGCAGGCCUAACACAUGCAAGUCGAACGGCAGCACAGGGGAGCUUGCUCCCUGGGUGGCGAGUGGCGGACGGGUGAGGAAUGCGUCGGAAUCUGCCUUUUCGUGGGGGAUAACGUAGGGAAACUUACGCUAAUACCGCAUGCGACCCUGCUCCGGGAGGAUCAGGGUGAAAGCGGGGGACCUUCGGGCCUCGCGCGGAAAGAUGAGCCGACGCCGGAUUAGCUAGUUGGCGGGGUAACGGCCCACCAAGGCGACGAUCCGUAGCUGGUCUGAGAGGAUGAUCAGCCACACUGGAACUGAGACACGGUCCAGACUCCGUACGGGA
This 339-nucleotide ribosomal RNA is filed under the name uncultured soil bacterium. RNAcentral describes it as "bacterial SSU rRNA". It matches the Rfam family "Bacterial small subunit ribosomal RNA", at positions 26 to 346 of the family's 1533-position model. The record is from RNAcentral.